AUAAGCAACGGCUUCUGGGCUUCACUUGUGGUAUAUUUCACAUGGAUGCCCAUUUAAACCACAAGCCACAAACUACCUGCACUCCUUUAUGAUGGCUCCACACUGUUGCCCUGAGGCACAGAAAGAUGGGAGGAGCCUCCAAGAACGACCCAUGCUCCAACCCUGCUCCGUGUCUCCAGUCCAGGGAUAAGAGCUGUUACCGUAUGCUAGCCAUAUCCCCCUGGCACCAGACGGACAGACAGCCUGGCUGCCUCCCCGGAAACCGGCACCGGCUCUCCUCCACCCCAUCGAGGAAAUUUCAUCCCUCCCUGCCUUCCACCGUCCUGCUGGAAAAGAGAAAAGCAGCCUCAGCUCAACUUUGGCAUUUCCAACAUUGGGCAGUCAGUCACACUGCCUCCCUCUGCCCCAGCUCUCCUCCACGUCAUUGAGGAGACUUCUUCGCAUCCUCCCUUCCACCACCUUGGCAGAAGAGAGAACAGCAGAGCACAGCAUGAAGCCGCCACAAAACCACAAGAAGACUAGUGCAGUGGUCACUGUGGCUAGGGAUGGCCUUGGUCUCUGAGUCCCGAGGAACCUGAAAUUCUGCUCCUCUAGCCACAGCACCCCACUGAACUUCUCUUU
Molecule: long non-coding RNA, 621 nt
Organism: Ornithorhynchus anatinus (platypus)
Lineage: Eukaryota; Metazoa; Chordata; Mammalia; Monotremata; Ornithorhynchidae
Exons: 2
Source: RefSeq, a predicted model, not a curated record